AGCGAACGCUGGCGGCAGGCCUAACACAUGCAAGUCGAACGAACUCUUCGGAGUUAGUGGCGGACGGGUGAGUAACACGUGGGAACGUGCCUUUUGGUUCGGAAUAACUCAGGGAAACUUGUGCUAAUACCGAAUGUGCCCUUCGGGGGAAAGAUUUAUCGCCAUUAGAGCGGCCCGCGUCUGAUUAGCUUGUUGGUGAGGUAACGGCUCACCAAGGCGACGAUCAGUAGCUGGUCUGAGAGGAUGACCAGCCACACUGGGACUGAGACACGGCCCAGACUACUACGGGAGGGAGCAGUGGGGAAUCUAGCGAAAUGGGCGAAAGCCUGAAGCAGCCAUGCCGGGUGAAUGAUGAAGGUCUUAGGAUUGUAAAAUUCUUUAACCGGGGACGAUAAUGACGGUACCCGGAGAAGAAGCCCCGGCUAACUUCGUG
RNAcentral lists this ribosomal RNA (433 nucleotides) under uncultured bacterium. Its description in RNAcentral is "partial 16S ribosomal RNA". It matches the Rfam family "Bacterial small subunit ribosomal RNA", at positions 29 to 507 of the family's 1533-position model. The record is from RNAcentral.